RNAcentral lists this ribosomal RNA (258 nucleotides) under uncultured soil bacterium. RNAcentral describes it as "partial 16S ribosomal RNA". It matches the Rfam family "Bacterial small subunit ribosomal RNA", at positions 26 to 285 of the family's 1533-position model. The record is from RNAcentral.
AGGAUGAACGCUGGCGGCGUGCUUAACACAUGCAAGUCGAACGAUGAAGCAGAGCUUGCUCUGUGGAUUAGUGGCGAACGGGUGAGUAACACGUGAGUAACCUGCCCUUGACUCUGGAAUAAGCGUUGGAAACGACGUCUAAUACCGGAUACGAGCUUCCGCCGCAUGGUGAGGAGCUGGAAAGAUUUCGGUCAAGGAUGGACUCGCGGCCUAUCAGGUAGUUGGUGAGGUAAUGGCUCACCAAGCCUACGACGGGUA